AACGAACGCUGGCGGCAGGCUUAACACAUGCAAGUCGAACGCCCCGCCAGGGGAGUGGCAGACGGGUGAGUAACGCGUGGGAACAUACCCUUUUCUACGGAAUAGCUCUGGGAAACUGGAAUUAAUACCGUAUACGCCCUACGGGGGAAAGAUUUAUCGGGGAAGGAUUGGCCCGCGUUGGAUUAGCUAGUUGGUGGGGUAAAGGCCUACCAAGGCGACGAUCCAUAGCUGGUCUGAGAGGAUGAUCAGCCACAUUGGGACUGAGACACGGCCCAAACUCCCGCGGGGGGGAGCAGGGGGGAAUAUGGGACAAGGGGCGCAAGCCUGACCCACCCAGGCCGGGUAGGUGAUGAAGGCCUAAGGGUUGUAAAGCUCUUUCCCCGAUGAGGAUAAGGAGGGAAGUGGGGAAAAAAGCCCGGCUAACCUUCGG
This 430-nucleotide ribosomal RNA is filed under the name uncultured bacterium. RNAcentral's name for it is "partial 16S ribosomal RNA". It matches the Rfam family "Bacterial small subunit ribosomal RNA", at positions 29 to 507 of the family's 1533-position model. The record is from RNAcentral.